Cricetulus griseus (Chinese hamster) is the source of this 116-nucleotide ribosomal RNA. Lineage: Eukaryota; Metazoa; Chordata; Mammalia; Rodentia; Cricetidae. The record is from Ensembl.
GUCUACAGCCCACCACCCUGAAUGUUCCCGAUAUUGUCUGAUCUGAAGUUAAGCAGGGCCGGGCCUGGUUAGUACUAUAAUGGGAGAAAAUGACCCAACUUUUAAAGCUGAAGUUC